Molecule: long non-coding RNA, 1585 nt
Organism: Cyprinus carpio (common carp)
Lineage: Eukaryota; Metazoa; Chordata; Actinopteri; Cypriniformes; Cyprinidae
Exons: 3
Source: RefSeq, a predicted model, not a curated record
AAGACCGGGCAGAGCACUCCAUGUUAAGGAGUGUCACUUUGUUGAGUUGUACAAAGUUUUUGAAAAUAUUCUUUAAACAUAUAAUGAUUCAAUAAGCCUUACAUAUUGUCAUCUUAACUUUUAUACCAUUAUUGACAGAGCAGGAUCAGAUGUAGGUCACCCGGUUUUUGGGAACAAAGCACUCCACCCCCCUCAACACAGCUCAGAUGGAUGUAUUCAAGAAGACUGUUUUGCUAAGAGAGGCCUGUUAAGAUUCAGCUAUGGCCCAUUUUCUACCCUCGCUAAGACACUAUAGUUUGAACAAAAGGACUUACCCUGGAUGACACGAGAGUGAAUCAGCAUUUCUUCUGUUUCUGGAUAUUUCCUUUAUUUACUCUCCAAAACAAGGCCACACCUGCUCACUCUGGGUUAAACCAUAAAGAUAAGCCACAACCCACCCUGACCUCGACAGGCCUUGUCUGAAGUGCUGUCAGAACAUCCAGUCAUUUAACUAACUGAUUAAAAUGUCAGUCAAGAGUUUGUUGACUAUUUGGAAAAGUAACUUUUUGGAAGAUUUUUUUGCACGCUAUUUAAUAUUUGAGCAUUUUUUGUAUUAUAAUGAAUUAUUUAAAAAAGCUAAUAAAAUCUGAACAAAACACAUGCCUAAUUCCACAACUAGUCUUAAGAUUUCUAAUCUGUUGUCUGAACUGAUUCUUAUCAAGCCCUGCCAUAACAGAACAUAUUGUCCAUUAUGUGCAUUGUUUUCACAGCCCACCAUCCACCGUUCAGAGGUACACACUCUGAUGUAAUUCUGUUAAUGUUUAGGGCAUGUACCAAACCUGUUGCGCAAUAAACCAUAGUCAAGUUAUUUAAUUUGACGUAAAAUGAGCAAAUGAAAACAAGGCUGUGAGGGAUGGCAACACAAUAUAAUCUCACAAAUGGAUGGGAGUUUUUGUGGUGGUCUUUAUACAGGUCCAUACACAUAUUCUCAGUGGUAACCUUUUUGUGAGUCAUUCUUUGAUGUGAUACAAGUGUCCAUGGAUGACGAAACUCAUAUGUCAUUGAAUCCUUGUGGCAUUUCCAGAGCCUCUUUUUCUGACGCAACUAAAUGUCAAAAGAGGAGUGUGACGGAGAGUUUAUUCACAAAAAGCACUACGUACACAGACAUGAUCUCUGAAAUGACCUGGUUUACUACCUGACACUUAGGUUAAACAAAGCAGACUGAAAAAUCAAACACAUUUCAUAAACUUACAAUGGCCCCAAAAUGUAUUUGGAGGAUAUGUGACGCAUGCAUUAAAUAUCAAAUUGUCAAACGAAAUGACAUUUAGUUUCAAGAAAUACUAUCACCAUCACACCCUUUACAUUUCAAAUAAUAAUAAACCAAAAUGGAAAACCAGAUUUGGACACGUCAAAUGCUAUGAGCUACACCUGUGAACUUGCAUUGAACUCAAAAUGUACAUGACUUAAAGUGUGCCUUGAAAAUUGUAUCUAAAUUUUUAGUAUAUAUCAAUUUGAAGUUCUAAUGCCAUCCAUAUAGUCACAAAUGUUACAAGAAAGCACUACAGUGAAGGAAAAAUCAUCUGGAAUGCAUUUGUAAUUGUAAACA